Molecule: non-coding RNA, 4930 nt
Organism: Coffea arabica (coffee)
Lineage: Eukaryota; Viridiplantae; Streptophyta; Magnoliopsida; Gentianales; Rubiaceae
Source: RefSeq, a predicted model, not a curated record
CGGAUGAGGGAAGAGCAGAAAAAGAAAAGAAACUGAAAAAAAGAGAAAAGAAACAGAGGAAGCCGAGAGAGGUUUCAGCAAAAAAUAAAACCAAAGAAAGACUGGGAAUUUGAGGGAGACGACGGGGAGAAGGAAACAAACGGAAAACAGAGGAGGAGGGAAGGAUCUAAUUUUUUUUAGGAGAGCAAUAGAGGGAGCUUCGGUGAGAGAAAAAGCCAAGGAAAACAGAGAGGGCCGCAACUGCAGUCAAAAACAGGGGAAAAGGGAAAACCGAGCAACAAGAAAAGGAAAAGGGGCGGCAGACGGCCACUCCCUUUCCAAUAGCUCUUGAACAGACCAUUGCCACCACCAGUCUUCAUCCACCACCGCUGCUCGCCGCCAUCUCGCCGGAAUUCACCAUCGUCGCCUGCGGAUGCUCACCGAACGAAAGCACUGGUAAAUAAGUGACUUUACUUCAUUAGAGCCCCAACUCAAGGGAGGUACACUCUAUCCUUUAUUUUUGACUUUAUUUGACCUUAUGUGCCUUAUGUGACUUUAUGUGCUCAAUUGCAUGCCAUCUGAAUGCUUUCAUUUUAAUUUAUUUAUUCGCUUUAUUUGUUUUAAUUUAGUAUUUUUAUUUUAUUUUAGUUCAAUUUUUGAUCAUUUGAAAGGCACUUGAAUGCCACAAUUGUAAUAGUUAGGCUAUUAUAUCAUUUCAUUUAAUUCCUUCCCUCUUAGAUUGUAGUAGGCUUCCCCCCCGAAUGUAAUAGUUAGGGCUUUAUUUGUUUUGCUUGUCUUAUGUGUGUUGCAUGCCUAUGUGCUAUGUGUUACCGCUUUCUUAGGACGUGCAUCUAGAUAUCAUGCCUAUGUGUUAUAUGUGUUAUAUGAUUUAUGUGCUUAUUUGUUUUAUUAUGCUUUAUCUGAUUUUCUUAGACCGUAAUAAAUGCAUGUUAUCACACUAGUCCAAUGCUAGCUGUGAUUCCUUUCCCGUCACCACACUAGUUCAACGCUAGUUGUGGCUCUUUGUUCUGAUUUCCCACUAGUCCAAUGCUAGUGAGGAUUCAUAGACAUGGGCUAGUCCAAUGUUAGACCCUUAGGGACCUUUCUCGUUAGAUCAUGUUUGUAUGAUUACACUUCAUGCAUAUUUUUCUCAAUUUUAGGAUCUUUUUCACAUAAUAUUUCCUCUAAUAAAAUAUCCCUUACCCCUAUGUAUACAUAACAUUUAGAUUUGCAUCUCAUUUAGGAAAUUAGGGGGUAGAUUAGUGCAUUUUGCCUGAUUAGACUAGGGAUAACCCCUUGAAUAUGGGAUAUGGACGAGUUUGGCUUUUCUAGUCUUAGCACGCUCGUAUUCCCUCUAUCAAAGGGAAAAUUGGGUCACGAGUAUUAGUUUUCCCCGUACCCGAUAUGAUGCAUUCCUUUAAGACAUGUAUAUUUCUAUAAUUAUUUUUAUUCUUUUCCUUUUCUUUGAGUCUCAUAUUUGUGCAUCAUUCGUGACCUCUCCAAAAAGUCAUUAUUGGGCGUCACAACUAAUGUGAUUGGCACCACUCAAGCUUUGAAGAGAAAUUUUACCCCCGAUGCCCCCCUAGGUCUAGGAUUUGCAUUCAUAUAGUACAUUCAAAUGUAAUAAAUUUUUUGGUUAAAAACAAGAAAAUCUUUGACUAAAUCGCGCAACUAGCCUUGGCUAGGUCGAAGGGGUGCUUUGGAUUUUUAUCCUUGCCUUCCCCUUCGUCAAAUGUGACUCCCGAACCUUUUUCGUUGGUUUACGUAGACUAGGAGUCGUUUAAAAGGGGUUUUUCUUACUUCAUUUUUCUUUAAAAAUUCAUUUUAGGUGACUUGGUACACCUUAACUCUAUACCAAGUGGCGACUCCGAUUUUUAUUCAAAAACCCUUUUUAAACUAUAUUUUGGGUCAAAUCGUCGCAUUUUCAAGUCCCAUUUAGACCCGUACUUUGUAUUCAUUUUUUUUCAAAUAAAAAAUUCACUAUUUAUUCAUUUUAUUUUUCAAAAAAUGGGGCGCGACAGCUGUCUUGGAGUGCAAGGUACAGGUUACCACUGGAAUCUCUAACUUGUAUGUUAACAUUGUAUUUGUUAAGAAGAAAUUGUGAUAUACAAUAAAAAAUGCAAUUAAAAUUAAAGAUAUAUAAAAAUAAUUACCUAACAAUAGUGUCGACUACGUCAUUACAAUGGAUACACACCAUUUUUGAAGAAUGAAAUUGACAUGGUUGUCCACAAUUUUUACAUAACUUAUGGAACAUAUUGUCUAUAUUAAUGCUUUGAAUUUAAGCAAGUAUCAGAAAAUAUUUAACUUAAAACAAUUCAAAAAAUGUAUAGAUUACAAUUAUUAAUUCAAAAUAAUAUGUAGAUAAUUGUUCAUUAAUUAAUUAAUUGAGAGAAUUUUUAGCAUAGGUGUGACUACAAAUGUUUCCUCCUUUGUAAUCUGACGAGUUUGAAAUUUAGGCGCUGUUGAAAUAUUUGUAGGUAGGCAUGGUUCAUGGUGAAAUUAAGUUGAGAGCUAAGAUUGAUACUAGAAAGAAAUUGAAAGAGAUUGAUACCAAAAAGAAGUUGAAAGAGAUGGUAAAUUACGAUUUUUUGUAAAAUUAUGUGGUUAUCUCGUAUUAAUGGGGUUGGAGGAGUUUUAAAUGGAAUUGCUAAUUGGAGGAGUAUUAAUUGAAGUGGGAAGGUGUGUGAAGGGAGAAGUGUUAGUUGGAGUAAAAUUCUUAUUUGAUGGAAAUGUGAUAGUGUGUUUCAAACGUGGACAUAAUGUAUUUUAGGAAAUAAAUUAAAUGUAAAAUACAAGAAAAAUGGAAUUGAUAGUGGGAAGGUUUGUGGAAGUUUGUUGCUAAAAAAUCCUCCUCAAAUUUAUAUAGAUAUAGAUGAUUAGUUGAGUUAAUAAGCAAUAUGAUUGGUUCACUUCAUAAUAAACAUAGAAGAGUCAUCUAUAAGGACUAGUGUGCAGCUAUGUAUGGUAUUUGUUCAUUGGCCUAUCUGCGAAUGAUAUUCAAUAGGCACUCGUUAAGAUGUACUUCAAGUGUUAAAAUAUUAAAAAAAUAAAAUUAAUUAGAAAAAAGUAAAUAAAUGGAAAAGAGGUUAAUAAUUAUUAGUGUAUACAUAAACAUGGUAGGUUGAAUGUGAUUUAGAUGUGUUAAGAGUAUUUAUUGAACACCGUUAGAAAAACCCUUUGAUCUUUCUUGUGACUGAUUGUUAGGGUGGUUGUCUAAAUUUAACCUUUGGUGAAAACUAUCACCUAUUAAACUCAAAAUCUAUAUGACGAUUAUUAAGAAAUAAAUUAACAAGGAAAAAUUGCAGAAGCGUACUUUGAUCCAUGUUGACAAACUUGAUACUUGAAUCCCUAGAGAUUUUGGGGUGGCUUUCCAGGCAAUAUUUUUUGACCGGUCGAACUGCGAACCGGCCAUGGACACCGUUCGGUUCAUAUCUUAGUUUGACCUAUCUCAAGAACUGGUCAAACUCGGAAAAAACCGUUAAAACCGUUAAAAUCGUGAACCACAGUUUUUUAUUUUUAAAACAUUUAACUUCCUAUUUCGGUUAGCCACCAAGUAGUAGUACCAAUAAGGCAAUAACCAAUGGCUCUAACCCUAAGGCAUAAACUAAAGAGUUUUCUCUCCAAUUUGCAAAUACGCCGCCUGGCUCUCUCUGUUUCCUUGUCUUGGUCAACUAUCAAGACAAAAGCCAAUUUCAAUUCUCUUCUUCAAUCUCCAAGAACUCCAAUUUUAUUUUGUUUUCAUUUCAAAAGUUGAUGCACCAAUUGUUCUUGCAUUGAAGUGCACAGCUUAGUUAGCCUCUAAAAUUUCAAGCCAUUACCAAUUUACCAGGUUAGUUUACCUUUUCUUUGUUUUUUUUGUUGCUCUUAGUUGGUUACUUGAUGUGCAUAUGCUUUUUAUGGUUCGUAUUUUUCCUAUUUAACUUAGAAUUAUGGGUUAAAUUAAAUAUUUUGAGUUGAUUUUAAAAUAUAUCAAUUGUUGUUAUAUAAACUUUAAAGAAAAAAAUUCAAUUUUUACUCUAUUUCUUGUGAAAUUUCAACAAUUGAUGAUGUCUUUGUUGGGUCUCUAGCCAGAAGCAUUACAUUUAUUUAGUGAAAUGUGGGUGUCUGAAGUUAGCUUGCCAGUUGUUUGAUGAAUUGCUUGAGAGGGAAGCGUUUUGAUUUUAUUAAUUGUAGCAUUUUGAUUUUUAUUUGGUGGACGCUACUUGCUACUUGGAUAAUAUGGCAUUAAUUGACAGGGUCCUGAACCAGAAUGGCACUCUGGCUCAAAAUUUUUUUUUUUUUUUUUUUAUCAUUUGGGUGGCCUGAGUUUCAAAGGUGGCAGGACCAUAAUCUUUGGUCUGUCUAGCUAAAAAGCACAGCUUUUGACCAAAGCAAGUUUCAUAUCCCCAUAUUCUCCAUUCCGUAAUUGAAAAUGUCAACCAACUCGUUGCAGACUUGGUAUACCAAUUGAUUAUGACCACGUAGAAGAUAUGUACGCUUAAAUUACGAAGAGCUGAAAUUAUGAUGAGUUAGAUGAAGAACUUGAAGAAAUUCCAGUUCAUGAUCAAGGUUCAAAUUCUCAACCAUUUGAAGAUAACGAAGAUGAAGGGGAAGAUGUUGAUUUAGAAGCAUUUCAACGUAGAAACUUUUUUAAUGAUGAUGAAGAUGAUGAUUAGCAUUAAAGAUUCAAAUGUGGAUCAUAUAUGCUCUUGGACGAUGAUGAAGACUUGUCAAGAUGGCUUUUUUUAAAUACUUGUUGUCCAAGAAUGAUGAAAAAGAUGAUAAAAGCCUCAGAAAUUAGAUUUGCUUGGAUUUUUCAAUUGUUUUCUAGAAUUAAAUGAGUUUUUAUAUUGUUCUUUGUUAUUUCUAAUAUUUAGACUAUUGGACAUGGGAUAAUAUUGCUCUUAUGUUGGUUGUGAUUUUAGCAUCUAUAGUUCUAUUGGACUUUAUUUAAUUUCAGAAGUUUCAAUGA